AUGCUCACUAUGGCAGCCUACAUAGUAAAACUUGAGCAAUAGAGAAGACUGACAUAGCCACCACGCAAAAAUGGCAUGAAAAUUCAUGAAGUAUUUGUAUUUGUU
Molecule: small nuclear RNA, 105 nt
Filed under: Chinchilla lanigera (long-tailed chinchilla)
Lineage: Eukaryota; Metazoa; Chordata; Mammalia; Rodentia; Chinchillidae
Source: RNAcentral